Arabidopsis lyrata subsp. lyrata is the source of this 698-nucleotide long non-coding RNA. RefSeq lists it as uncharacterized. Lineage: Eukaryota; Viridiplantae; Streptophyta; Magnoliopsida; Brassicales; Brassicaceae. The transcript has 2 exons. The record is from RefSeq and is a predicted model, not a curated record.
UUAAUUUGGGUAAUCGGAUUUCGGUUCGGGUCGGUUCGGUAAUCGGAACCGAUCGGUUUACCUAGAACCGAGAAUCUGCAGCCAUAUAUAAGGAUAUUGAGUCAUUUACCCUAAUUUGGUUUCAUUUUCUUCUGCGCCUCUGCGCCUCUGCCUCUAUCAAAACUAAAGCCGAGUUCAUCUUCUUCUCCAACCUAAGCCAUUAUCAGCACCACGUUUCUUUUUCUUCAUCAAUUGUUGUUAGCUCUUCUUCUUUCUUCACCCGUAACCACAAUUUUUUUUGCGAUAAGCUCUUUUUCUCUUUUUUCUCUUCUGAUUCUUUGUUGUUUACUCGCUAAACUCGUUUUCAUCACCAAACUCACGGCUGGAUUCAUUGAUUUUCUUGCAGUUGGCAAAUAACAAGCUUUAUCAGACGUAAAGAUCUGACAUCAUCGUCAUCGUGGCUGCCUCGCCGUCGCUGCCUCGCCCUCGCCGUCGUUGCCUCGCCCUUGCCGUCGAUGUGGCUGCCUCGUGAAAACCCUAAUUUUUAAUGGGUUGGGCCUUGUAAAUAUAUUAAUUGGGUUUGUAAAUUUGUUAAUGCAUUUUGAUUAUGUAAUGAGUUGGGCUUUGUUUUCAGCCCAAUAUCCCUUUUUUUUGUAAUUCGGUUCAAAUUAACCGAAAUAGAAAACUAUCGGUUUAAUUUCGGAAUUAAUUUUAAACCC